GUUGUGGCUCAGUGGUAGAGCACUUACCUCUCAAAUGUGGGACCCUGGGUUUGAUUCUCAGCACCACA
Molecule: transfer RNA, 68 nt
Filed under: Marmota monax (woodchuck)
Lineage: Eukaryota; Metazoa; Chordata; Mammalia; Rodentia; Sciuridae
Description: tRNA.Glu
Rfam family: tRNA (bases 3-63)
About the family: Transfer RNA (tRNA) molecules are approximately 80 nucleotides in length.
Source: RNAcentral